GACGAACGCUGGCGGCGUGCUUAACACAUGCAAGUCGAACGGAAAGGCCCUGCUUUUGUGGGGUGCUCGAGUGGCGAACGGGUGAGUAACACGUGAGUAACCUGCCCUUGACUUUGGGAUAACUUCAGGAAACUGGGGCUAAUACCGGAUAGGAGCUCCUGCUGCAUGGUGGGGGUUGGAAAGUUUCGGCGGUUGGGGAUGGACUCGCGGCUUAUCAGCUUGUUGGUGGGGUAGUGGCUUACCAAGGCUUUGACGGGUAGCCGGCCUGAGAGGGUGACCGGCCACCUUGGGACUAAGAUACGGCCCAGACUCCUACGGGAGGCAGCAGUGGGGAAUAUUGCACAAUGGGCGGAAGCCUGAUGCAGCAACGCCGCGUGCGGGAUGACGGCCUUCGGGUUGUAAACCGCUUUCGCCUGUGACGAAGCGUGAGUGACGGUAAUGGGUAAAGAAGCACCGGCUAACUACGUG
This 468-nucleotide ribosomal RNA is filed under the name uncultured bacterium. RNAcentral describes it as "partial 16S ribosomal RNA". It matches the Rfam family "Bacterial small subunit ribosomal RNA", at positions 28 to 507 of the family's 1533-position model. The record is from RNAcentral.